GUGAAUCAUCAAAUUUUUGAACGCAAAUUGCACUCUCCUCGGAGAGUAUGCCUGUUUGAGGGUCAGCCUAUAAAAAUCGACAUCGUUGCUGUUUCGCGGCGGCGUUCGUCGGAAAUUGGGUCAUCUUAAAUCCUUUUGUUUUAACGACUUAAAAUUUUCUUUUUGUUCCCUUGAACUUUCUUAAGAUUUUUUUUUUACCAUGUUAAGGGAU
This 211-nucleotide unclassified non-coding RNA is filed under the name Glomus sp. RNAcentral describes it as "partial contains 5.8S ribosomal RNA and internal transcribed spacer 2". The stretch from base 1 to 65 matches the Rfam family "5.8S ribosomal RNA", at positions 84 to 154 of the family's 154-position model. The record is from RNAcentral. Lineage: Eukaryota; Fungi; Glomeromycota; Glomeromycetes; Glomerales; Glomeraceae.